CCUACGGGAGGCAGCAGUGGGGAAUAUUGGGCAAUGGACGCAAGUCUGACCCAGCAACGCCGCGUGAAGGAAGAAGGCUUUCGGGUUGUAAACUUCUUUUAAGGGGGAAGAGCAGAAGACGGUACCCCUUGAAUAAGCCACGGCUAACUACGUGCCAGCAGCCGCGGUAAUACGUAGGUGGCAAGCGUUGUCCGGAUUUACUGGGUGGAAAGGGCGUGCAGCCGGAGAGACAAGUCAGAUGUGAAAUCCACGGGCUCAACCCGUGAACUGCAUUUGAAACUGUUUCCCUUGAGUGUCGGAGUGGUAAUCGGGAUUCCUUGUGUAGCGGUGAAAUGCGUAGAUAUAAGGAAGAACACCAGUGGCGAAGGCGGAUUACUGGACGAUAACUGACGGUGAGGCGCGAAAGCGUGGGGAGCAAACAGGAUUAGAUACCCCGGUAGUC
This 442-nucleotide ribosomal RNA is filed under the name uncultured bacterium. Its description in RNAcentral is "partial 16S ribosomal RNA". It matches the Rfam family "Bacterial small subunit ribosomal RNA", at positions 338 to 795 of the family's 1533-position model. The record is from RNAcentral.